CGCCUCCUGAUCACCCAUAGGAGGUCCAGCCUGCCCAGUGACUAAGUUAAACGGCCGCGGUACCCUAACCGUGCAAAGGUAGCGCAAUCACUUGUUCUUUAAAUGAGGACUAGUAUGAACGGCAUCACGAGGGUUAUGCUGUCUCCCUACUCUACUCAGUGAAACUGAUCUCCCCGUGAAGAAGCGGGGAUAAAAAUAUAAGACGAGAAGACCCCAUGGAGCUUUAAACUCAGUACCAACUGCCUCAAUAAUAACCUAUUACCCUUGCAGCCAUGGAUACUAGUUUUCGGUUGGGGUGACCACGGAGUAAAAUUUAACCUCCACGAUGAAAGGAGCUAAUAUCCUAACCUAUGAGCUACAGCUCUAAGUAUCAACAAAUUGACUAAUUGACCCAAUUACUUGAUCAACGAACCAAGUUACCCUGGGGAUAACAGCGCAAUCCAUUUCAAGAGCUCAUAUCGACAAAUGGGUUUACGACCUCGAUGUUGGAUCAGGGUAUCCCAGUGGCGCAGCCGCUACUAAUGGUUCGUUUGUUCAACGAUUAAAACCCU
This 551-nucleotide ribosomal RNA is filed under the name Microhyla mukhlesuri. RNAcentral's name for it is "partial 16S ribosomal RNA". It matches the Rfam family "Bacterial large subunit ribosomal RNA", at positions 1832 to 2597 of the family's 2925-position model. The record is from RNAcentral. Lineage: Eukaryota; Metazoa; Chordata; Amphibia; Anura; Microhylidae.